UCGAACCACUCGAACUCCUCUCUCUUCCUCUCCCCACGCGGCCAAUCUGCUCUCGCACCCAACCCUAGCUCCCGAUGAUGCGCCGCCGCCCACCAUCUUUCCCCACCGACUGCCUGCUUUGCCACCACCCCACCUUCUCCCCCGGAUGCAACAUCUUCCCCACCGAUGCAGCACAUCUGAAACGAAUGAGCACAGCACCUCCUCUCCCGGAUUCCAUCGCAUCCCGUGGUCACCGCCCUCGUCUACCUCGGCGCUGCGCUUCCCCACCGACGACCUCAAUGCCCAUCUCCCCCACCGGCGCCGCCCCCACCAACCUUCUCUCUCUCUUCCCUUGGCUGGUGCAUGCUUGUGGAGGAAGAUCCACGACGCGCCACCUCCGCCCCGUCGUCGGCGGUGGAUGCUCGUCAAUGGUCGUGGUCCGGAAGCCCAGCUUCGCCUGGGCGCGACGGAUCUGCGCAAGGGCCACGCUGGGCGAGGAGCCCACAUGCUCGGCCGCCACUUGGUUCACUCCUCUUCUUUCAGCCGCCGGGAGAGGAGCUCAUGGCGGUGAUGCUACCGGAUCCGCGACGGAGGUGCUUGAGGUCGCGCGCAGCAACAGGAGGCCGAAAUGUUUUCGUUACAUGCAGUCAGUCUUCCAAGGUCUGUCGUGCGUACUACUAGUGUUCACAACCUUCCAAGUUCAUGGGGGUCUUGUUUGUUUGUUCAUGUGGUGACUCUUCUACACAUUUCAUAGUUUCUUCUACAUAGUUGUGGAGACCACGGAUGGAACUAUCGCAGUUGCUUCUGCGUUUCGUGGGCAUCUGGAAGGGAUCACAAGUUCUUGUCAAAAGCGAUAGAAGAGGGAUUUGACUGUGGCCAUGGAGGCAUGUUUGGCUCUGACGCCAUGGAUGUCGUUGUGCUCUCUCAUCGUCCCUCCCUGGCCCCUAGGCACAUCAGGCCGCUGUGCUUCUUCUACUUUCACAUGCCGAUGGUGAUAAGUGGAAGUCCCUGAGUGAUGUUGUUCCAUGGAAGAUGCCCAGCCACGUGGAAGCAACAAUUCUAUUUCAAGGCCUCCCUCUACAUCUCCCUGUUUCAAUUUCUAGGCUUAGUCCCUAAUUUCUGCUGCUCCAAAUUUUCUUAUAUGCUUGACUAAAUUUCAUUGUUUGCCAACUAAAUUGCUUGCUUGAUGCCCCAAAAAUUCAGUGCAAUUUUGUUUACCAAUUGGUUUGGUUGGAUUUGUCCCAAGUUAACUGUAGUUGUUACAAAAUAGAUGGCUAUUGUCCAAUUGGUUCAGUAGAACAAAACUAGAUGGCUGACAUGUGUUGUUUGCUGAUAAUUAACAAUGUUGGGGCGUUGUAUUGAGGUUAACCUGUGAAGAAUACUUACUUAUGGUCUGACUGGACUUCUUUUAUAUGUCCAACUGAACUACACACACUCAUAUAUACCCACAUGUCAAAUAUAUGUUGUUGUAUUAUGCUUAUGCUACUUGUAUCACCAAUGUUUUCUCACUCUGGUACCUUUAUCUUUCUUUAUGUUCUUACCUAACCUUUUACUAAUAUGUACUCUUUGCUCACAAUUAAGUUGUAUAAGUUAGGCUGCGAUGUUAAGGCUAACCUGAUAACACUUGCUUAUGAGAACCAAUUGGACUUCUUCGAUAUAUUCAAGUGAAGAUGUACUAUUACUACUGUAGUGAACUUCGUCUAUGUUUGAUUAGAAUCUAAGUGUCAUCAUUCAUAUUAUGGUAUCCUGUUUUCUGUGAUAACUGUUGACUUGCAAGAUGAAUGCAUUCUUCUAUCCAGCUUUAGUUGUCUUUCAUUGUUUUGUACUAGCAUUCAGCCCCUCACCCAACUCGCUCAUGAUGCACGACAGCAACAACGGGAAGAUCAUGCUAGUCUGCAUCAUCAGGCACACCAUGGAGAUCAUCCACCUCCUCACCAAUGCCAACCCCAUCCAGAUCAUCGUUGGCGCCAUCAUUAACUGGAUAAGGCUCCCUACAUUGCUCUGGAAACUUGCUAUGUGAAGGGCGACUAGUGAUGCGGCACACCAAGCAGCAGCACUAAUUGAUGAAGGAUGGUUGUUGUUAGUUUAGCUCGUUGCAAGCAUCUACUGCUGCUGGUAGAUAUAGAAAUGCUGCUGGUAGAAAUAGAAAUGGUAGAAAUAGAAAUGUUGCUUCAUUUUCAUGUUAAUUCAGUCUCUGUCCAAUGUAUCUACUAUCUACUUUCAUGGCUGUCUAAAGAAUCCUUUUGUGUUGAAAGAAAUGAAAGAAAUAAAAUGGUUUGAAUUCAUGGGAA
This is an RNA transcript of Triticum dicoccoides, 2270 nucleotides long. RefSeq lists it as uncharacterized. The record is from RefSeq and is a predicted model, not a curated record. The transcript is spliced from 6 exons. Lineage: Eukaryota; Viridiplantae; Streptophyta; Magnoliopsida; Poales; Poaceae.